Molecule: long non-coding RNA, 218 nt
Filed under: Dunaliella salina
Lineage: Eukaryota; Viridiplantae; Chlorophyta; Chlorophyceae; Chlamydomonadales; Dunaliellaceae
Description: long non-coding RNA (DSAL_LNC000124)
Source: RNAcentral
GAACAUAAUUCCAAAGAGGCCACCUGCGCCAAAAGCGGGCAACCACGCCUGGCUGGCGAAGCCCUGAGGCAAGUAUUCCUCUACCACUUACAACUAAUUAGAAGUUGCGAUGUGCAURUGAAAAGCUUCUGCCAUAAGAAAAUAAGAGAUUGCAUGCUUGCCACUUGGCUGUGUCAUGUAAAGCCUAAAUAACAGUUUACGUUCCCCACUUUCUUGAC